GUGGGGAAUCUUAGACAAUGGGCGCAAGCCUGAUCUAGCCAUGCCGCGUGAGCGAUGAAGGCCUUAGGGUUGUAAAGCUCUUUCGUGGGGGAAGAUAAUGACUGUACCCCAAGAAGAAGCCCCGGCUAACUCCGUGCCAGCAGCCGCGGUAAUACGGAGGGGGCUAGCGUUGUUCGGAAUUACUGGGCGGAAAGCGCACGUAGGCGGACUGGAAAGUCAGGGGUGAAAUCCCGGGGCUCAACCCCGGAACUGCCUUUGAAACUCCCAGUCUUGAGUUCGAGAGAGGUGAGUGGAAUUCCGAGUGUAGAGGUGAAAUUCGUAGAUAUUCGGAGGAACACCAGUGGCGAAGGCGGCUCACUGGCUCGAUACUGACGCUGAGGUGCGAAAGCGUGGGGAGCAAACAGGAUUAGAUACCCCAGUAGUCC
This 425-nucleotide ribosomal RNA is filed under the name uncultured bacterium. Its description in RNAcentral is "partial 16S ribosomal RNA". It matches the Rfam family "Bacterial small subunit ribosomal RNA", at positions 354 to 796 of the family's 1533-position model. The record is from RNAcentral.